AUUCCCCAAUUUAUGCGUUCUCCUCUUCUCCUUCCAUCUCUCCCUGCCAACGUUUCAAUCUCCCGAUCUCCCCAUCACCACAAACACACAUGGAACGGAUGGCGGCAUGCAUCCAUCUUCAUCACCCAUCGAGGGAUUUUAUUGCCCAUCUCCUUCUGGUGAUGGGAAGAAGGGCGGCUGCAUCUUCUUCUUCCCUAGCGCCGGCUACCUCAGCAAGCACCACGGAUGGCAUCUCCACCACUUCCCCGACGGUGAGGCACCUGCCGUGGAGGUGGACUUGCAGGCGCUCCUCCACGCCAACGACGGCGAUCUGUCCCGCUCCCACCUCAACCACGCGAGGCGUCAUCGGCAUCCGGCCGUAAGGGGAAGACGACCCGUCGCCGUUCGUAAGAAAAAGGCCAUGUUGAGAACCACAUGGUCACCACUCGAGGCAUUCAACUCUCGGCAGCACCCUUAUACCACUCCAACUGGUAUCGUUUCAACGGGUUCCUGUUCUUCUAAAUCAAAGAUAAUAAGGCCAGCCAGACAUAAGAAAGUUUCUACAAGGAGAUGGUGUGUAGUUAUUUUGUUCCCGUUAAUCUAUCUUAUGCCGGAAUAUGUAUGUGUGAAUUUUCUUUGCAGUUUAUGGACGCCAAUGGAAAGUAUACCUGAACAUGAGGUCUGCUUUGAGAUUAGGAAGCAUUGUGGAGAAAUGGCCUAACUAACAAGAUUCGGUACCACUUUAUGUUUUACAGUGUGCGGUAUGGAUGGCUAGGUGGUCGUAAGGAUGGUCUUGGUAAACAAUUGUCUGAUGAUCUUGAAUCUUUGUUUUCUCAUGUCAACAAGGUAGAUGAUGAAUAUUCAAACUGGCUGUAAGUCAGGCGGACCAAUGUAAAUUGGCUAAAAAUAUAUUUUACGAGUGUGAUUUCUGUAAC
Molecule: long non-coding RNA, 914 nt
Organism: Triticum dicoccoides
Lineage: Eukaryota; Viridiplantae; Streptophyta; Magnoliopsida; Poales; Poaceae
Exons: 3
Source: RefSeq, a predicted model, not a curated record